AACCUCCGCAAUGUGAGAAAUCGCGACGGGGGGAUCCCAAGUGCCAUUCUUAACGGGAUGGCUUUUCAUUAGUGUAAAGAGCUUUUGGAAUAAGAGCUGGGCAAGACCGGUGCCAGCCGCCGCGGUAACACCGGCAGCUCUAGUGGUAACAAUUUUUAUUGGGCCUAAAGCGUCCGUAGCCGGUUUAAUAAGUCUCUGGUGAAAUCCUGUAGCUUAACUGUGGGAAUUGCUGGAGAUACUAUUAGACUUGAGACCGGGAGAGGUUAGAGGUACUCCCAGGGUAGAGGUGAAAUUCUGUAAUCCUGGGAGGACCGCCUGUUGCGAAGGCGUCUAACUGGAACGGUUCUGACGGUGAGGGACGAAAGUUAGGGGCGCGAACCGGAUUAGAUACCCGGGUAGUCCUAACUGUAAACGAUGCGGACUUGGUGUUGGGGUGGCUUUGAGCUGCUCCAGUGCCGAAGGGAAGCUGUUAAGUCCGCCGCCUGGGAAGUACGGUCGCAAGACUGAAACUUAAAGGAAUU
RNAcentral lists this ribosomal RNA (521 nucleotides) under uncultured bacterium. RNAcentral describes it as "bacterial SSU rRNA". It matches the Rfam family "Archaeal small subunit ribosomal RNA", at positions 345 to 866 of the family's 1478-position model. The record is from RNAcentral.